RNAcentral lists this ribosomal RNA (444 nucleotides) under uncultured bacterium. RNAcentral's name for it is "bacterial SSU rRNA". It matches the Rfam family "Bacterial small subunit ribosomal RNA", at positions 331 to 792 of the family's 1533-position model. The record is from RNAcentral.
CCAGACUCCUACGGGAGGCAGCAGUGAGGAAUAUUGGGCAAUGGAGGCAACUCUGACCCAGCCAUGCCGCGUGAGUGAAGAAGGUUUUCGGAUUGUAAAGCUCUUUCGGAUGUGACGAUGAUGACGGUAGCAUCUAAAGAAGCCCCGGCUAACUCCGUGCCAGCAGCCGCGGUAAUACGGAGGAUCCGAGCGUUAUCCGGAUUUAUUGGGUUUAAAGGGAGCGUAGAUGGGUUGUUAAGUCAGUUGUGAAAGUUUGCGGCUCAACCGUAAAAUUGCAAUUGAUACUGGCAGCCUUGAGUACAGUUGAGGUAGGCGGAAUUCGUGGUGUAGCGGUGAAAUGCUUAGAUAUCACGAAGAACUCCGAUUGCGAAGGCAGCCUACUAAACUGCCACUGACAUUGAUGCUCGAAAGUGUGGGUAUCAAACAGGAUUAGAUACCCCUGUA